Long non-coding RNA from Octopus sinensis (East Asian common octopus), 261 nucleotides. RefSeq lists it as uncharacterized. The transcript has 3 exons. Lineage: Eukaryota; Metazoa; Mollusca; Cephalopoda; Octopoda; Octopodidae. The record is from RefSeq and is a predicted model, not a curated record.
UUCUGGGUUCAAACCCAUGGUAACUUCAUGACUGAAGGAGGUCUCCUCCUUCAGGUGAUGCUGAUGGCUAUUGUGGUGGUGUGAGCAGUGAUGAUUGUGAUCAGAAUGACAAAGACAGCAACAACAUUCACGAAGGAAAUUCAACUGCAUAUCUUACUGAUAUUUUCCACUUUGAGAAGUGCUCCUGGCAGCCUUACAAUGGAGACUAGAUCCUCUGCCUUUCGGCCUUGAGAGUCUUUCAUUGAUUUUUUGAUUCCUUUC